RNAcentral lists this ribosomal RNA (445 nucleotides) under uncultured bacterium. RNAcentral describes it as "bacterial SSU rRNA". It matches the Rfam family "Bacterial small subunit ribosomal RNA", at positions 86 to 524 of the family's 1533-position model. The record is from RNAcentral.
CCUGGAUUAGUGGCGAACGGGUGAGUAACACGUGAGUAACCUGCCCUUAACUCUGGGAUAAGCCUGGGAAACUGGGUCUAAUACCGGAUAUGACUCCUCAUCGCAUGGUGGGGGGUGGAAAGCUUUUGUGGUUUUGGAUGVACUCGCGGCCUAUCAGCUUGUUGGUGGGGUAAUGGCCUACACAAGGCGACGACGGGUAGCCGGCCUAGAGAGGGUGACCGGCCACACUGGGACUGAGACACGGCCCAGACUCUACGGGAGGCAGCAGUGGGGAAUAUUGCACAAUGGGCGGAAGCCUGAUGCAGCGACGCCGCGUGAGUGAUGAAGGCUUCGGGUCGUAAAGCUCUGUCGGAGGGAACGAAUGCUCACGGGGUUAACAGCCUCGGGAAGUGACGGUACCCUCAAAGGAAGCACCGGCUAACUCUGUGCCAGCAGCCGCGGUAAU